RNAcentral lists this ribosomal RNA (252 nucleotides) under uncultured bacterium. Its description in RNAcentral is "partial 16S ribosomal RNA". It matches the Rfam family "Bacterial small subunit ribosomal RNA", at positions 524 to 776 of the family's 1533-position model. The record is from RNAcentral.
GACAGAGGGUGCAAACGUUGUUCGGAAUUACUGGGCGUAAAGCGCGUGUAGGCGGCCUGCAAGUCGGGUGUGAAAUCCCACGGCUCAACCGUGGAAGUGCACUCGAAACUGCAGGGCUAGAGUCCUGGAGAGGAAGGUGGAAUGCUUGGUGUAGAGGUGAAAUUCGUAGAUAUCAAGCGGAACACCGGUGGCGAAGGCGGCCUUCUGGACAGUGACUGACGCUGAGACGCGAAAGCGUGGGGAGCAAACAGG